Molecule: ribosomal RNA, 465 nt
Filed under: uncultured bacterium
Lineage: Bacteria
Description: partial 16S ribosomal RNA
Rfam family: Bacterial small subunit ribosomal RNA
Source: RNAcentral
GACGAACGCUGGCGGCGUGCUUAACACAUGCAAGUCGAACGGAAAGGCCCCUUUGGGGGUCCUCGAGUGGCGAACGGGUGAGUAACACGUGAGUAACCUGCCCUUGACUUCGGGAUAACUUCAGGAAACUGGGGCUAAUACCGGAUAGGAAUCCUUGCUUCAUGGUGGGGGUUGGAAAGCUUCGGCGGUUUUGGAUGGACUCGCGGCUUAUCAGCUUGUUGGUGGGGUAGUGGCUUACCAAGGCUUUGACGGGUAGCCGGCCUGAGAGGGCGACCGGCCACACUGGGACUGAGAUACGGCCCAGACUCCUACGGGAGGCAGAAGUGGGGAAUAUUGCACAAUGGGCGGAAGCCGGAUGCAGCAACGCCGCGGGCGGGAUGACGGCCUUCGGGUUGUAAACCGCUUUCAGCAGGGGCGAAGCUUGUGGUGACGGUACCUGCAGAAGAAGCACCGGCUAACUACGUG